RNAcentral lists this ribosomal RNA (846 nucleotides) under uncultured bacterium. RNAcentral describes it as "bacterial SSU rRNA". It matches the Rfam family "Bacterial small subunit ribosomal RNA", at positions 53 to 877 of the family's 1533-position model. The record is from RNAcentral.
ACAUGCAAGUCGAACGGGAUUAGGGGCUUGCUCCUAAUCUAGUGGCGCACGGGUGAGUAACGCGUAGAUAAUCUGCCUGAUGAUCCGGGAUAACACUUCGAAUGGGGUGCUAAUACCGGAUAAGCCCACGGGGUCUUUGGAUCUUGCGGGAAAAGGGGGGGACCUUCGGGCCUUCUGUCAUCAGAUGAGUCUGCGUACCAUUAGCUAGUUGGUAGGGUAAUGGCCUACCAAGGCUACGAUGGUUAGCUGGUNUGAGAGAAUGAUCAGCCACACUGGAAGUGAGACACGGUCCAGACUCGUACGGGAGGCAGCAGUGGGGAAUUAUGCGCAAUGGGCGAAAGCCUGACGCAGCAACGCGGAAUGAGUGAUGAAGGCUUUUGGGUCGUAAAGCUCUGUCGAGGGGAAAGAAGUGUAUUGUGGCUAAUAUCCACGAUACUUGACGGUACCCUUAAAGGAAGCACCGGCUAACUCCGUGCCAGCAGUCGUGGUAAUACGGGGGGUGCAAGCGUUGUUUGGAAUUAUUGGGCGUAAAGAGCGUGUAGGCGGCUUGUUAAGUCUUAUGUGAAAGCCCUGGGUUCAACCCAGGAAGUGCAUUGGAAACGGUCGGACUUGAAUACGGGAGAGGGCAGUGGAAUUCCUAGUGUAGGAGUGAAAUCAGUAGAUAUUAGGAGGAACACCGGUGGCGAAGGCGGCUGCUUGGACCUAUAUUGACGAUGAGACGCGAAAGCGUGGGUAGCAAACAGGAUUAGAUACCCUGGUAGUCCACGCCGUAAACGAUGAGAACUAGGUGUUGCGGGUAUUGACCCCUGCAGUGCAGCAGAUAACGCAUUAAGUUCUCCGCCUGGG